This 407-nucleotide ribosomal RNA is filed under the name uncultured bacterium. RNAcentral's name for it is "partial 16S ribosomal RNA". It matches the Rfam family "Bacterial small subunit ribosomal RNA", at positions 360 to 774 of the family's 1533-position model. The record is from RNAcentral.
AAUAUUGCGCAAUGGAGGAAACUCUGACGCAGCGACGCCGCGUGCGCGCUGAAGGUCUUCGGAUCGUAAAGCUCUGUCCCUGGGGGAGAAGAUCGAACGAUUGGACGGUACCCGAGGGGGAAAGCCCGGCUAACUACGGGCCAGCAGCCGCGGUAAUACGUAGGGGGCAAGCGUUGUCCGGAAUUAUUGGGCGUAAAGGGUGCGUAGGCGGCUUUUUAAGUCAGAUGUGAAAGACCACGGCUUAACCGUGGGGUUGCAUUUGAAACUGGAGGGCUUGAGUGUCGGAGAGGGCAGUGGAAUUCCCAGUGUAGCGGUGGAAUGCGUAGAUAUUGGGAGGAACACCAGUGGCGAAGGCGACUGCCUGGACGAUAACUGACGCUGAGGCACGAAAGCUAGGGGAGCAAACA